AGCGCGGUGCCGCGCUGCGUGUAUUUGACAAGCUGAGUCCGACACUCAGUGCGAGAGUGUCAGUUUGUCAAAUACCCCAAGCGAGGCACUGCUGA
Molecule: microRNA precursor, 95 nt
Filed under: Columba livia (rock pigeon)
Lineage: Eukaryota; Metazoa; Chordata; Aves; Columbiformes; Columbidae
Description: microRNA cli-mir-223 precursor
Gene: cli-mir-223
Rfam family: mir-223 microRNA precursor family
Source: miRBase by way of RNAcentral